This 555-nucleotide long non-coding RNA is filed under the name Gallus gallus (chicken). Lineage: Eukaryota; Metazoa; Chordata; Aves; Galliformes; Phasianidae. The record is from RNAcentral.
CACCUCUCUCCAGCUGGCUCUGCUGUGAGCUGCACCUCACAGACAAAACACAAAUAGGUUUCUGAGUUCUGUGUACAGCACCUCUGUUACCACAGUGCAGAGCGGGUGUUGAAGCUGCUGGGUGGCUGGGCAGAGCCUGUGUGCGUUCCGGGAUGGGCUGGGAUGUUUGGGUCUGGUAUACUGUCAGUGUGCUCAUCUCACAGCUUUGAAGCUUUGACUUCUUGCUGCAGUACUGUUAGUUUCCUUGAAAUGUGAGGGGUGAUGAGAUGAGCUGCUGGAAAUCCAAGCAUUCUUGAUUUCUUUUGCAGUUCCUGUUGAAAAUGAUGGGAGCAGUGGAAAAUACAGUGUAAUAACUGGUCAACUCUCUUCUUUGUCCAGCACAUUUGUACACCUUUAUCCUUUCAUGUGUUUUAUCUCGUGCUGUGAAGCCUCUGCAGGGAUCUAGUGCCAUGUGUCUGCAGAGUGCCUUCUGUAUGACUUGUCCGGAGCUGCCUGUCGUUACCAGCAUAACUUACAUUUCGCACCAUACCAUUGUUUCUGUACAAUUAGUUAGUU